AUGUUCUAAAAUGUGAUGCUGCAGUAUCAGACCGGAAAAUUGAAAUGUCUUGUAUCUUUAAUAUAUGAUUUGGUCUGGGUAACAAAAGGUUGUAAAAAAUGAUCUACGUAUUUGGCUAUGGGUUCUAGAAUGGAUCCUAUUCCAGAUACAAUGGGUCUUCCAGGAGGAGGAUGGAUGCCCUUAUGUAUUUUGGGAAGCAUGUAAAAGAGUGGUGUCCUGGGAAAUUGUUUUAUGAGAAAUUCAUAUUAAAGAUACAAGACAUUUCAUCAACACAGUGGAAUCCCUCCAUAUACCUGAAGGUGCUAUACUCAUGACUUUAGACAUCACAGCAUUAUAUACCAGCAUUCCUUUAGAGGAAGCUAGGCAGGUUAUUAAGGAUGUAUUGGACACUAGAGCAUCAUUGUCACCCCCAACACAUUUUCUGAUGGAUCUAUUAGACAUUGUUCUAGAAAACAAUUAUUUUAAAUUUGGCACACAAUUUUAUUUACAAGUAUGUGGAGUCGCCAUGGGGAGUUCUCUGGCUCCUGCUAUUGCCAACCUAUUUGUUGCCUACCUUGAGACAAAAUUCAUUUACAACAGCACAUACAAUCUAGAUCUCCCCGACAUGAUCUAUUAUGGACGAUACAUUGAUGACCAUACCAUACAAUCAACUAUUAAGAUUAAAACGCAACACCAGCCUACAGGAAGACUUCGAAUCUAUCAUAGACCCCUUCAAACAGGCACUGAAGAUGAGGGGAUACCCUGAAAGAAUUGUAGACUCAGCAGUCAAAAGAGCUCAAAGGGUCAAUAGAAGUGUCCUACUACAAGAACAAACUAAGCCUAGUAAGGAUCGUAUCAUCUGGCCACUUACACUCACACCACUAUCAUCCAAAAUUAAGAAUAUUGUCAAUAGACAUUGGCAUCUAAUACACGAGAUCCACGGCUGUGAGAAACCACCUAUGGUAGCCCACAAAAGAUCUAGAAAUUUCAGAAACUUUCUAGUACAUGCAGAUCUCAUUACUCCCACUACUACAGUAAGCCUAAACAAAAAAGGACAUUAUCCAUGUGGCCAUUGUAACUGUUGUAAGCAAUCCCUAAGAAUUCAAGAUGAUAUAUACCCCAUACUCCAUCUUCACAUCACAUUAAGACACUUUACUACAUGUGCAUCUGAAAAUGUCAUAUAUUUGAUUAUAUGUCCAUGUAAAUUGUUAUAUGUAGGGAUGACCUCUAGGGCAUUGAGAACACGGAUACAAGAACACAAAUCCAGAAUCAGGAAUGGAUGCACAGACUCUACUCUAUACACACAUUUUCAAGAAAAAGCUCAUUCUGAUGAGAGUUUUAAGUUCUUUGUGAUAGAGAAGGUAAAACCCAUUGGAGACAAUAAAAGACUUCUUCUACAAAGGGAGUCUUUCUGGACCUUUAAAUUAAACUCUGUAUUCCCCAAAGGACUGAAUGAUAGGAUUGAUUUCACCUGUUAUCUUUAGUGAAUUGAGUAUUUCAGUUCACCAUGCAAGCCAUAGGGCACUUGCAACUUGAGAAAAAACACAGAGCCCUGCAAGAGUAACGACGUAAAUUGACUACAUUGAAAAGCCUUGAACUGAAGCAGGACCAAGCAAGUAAUUAAGAUUAAAGAGACAGCAAUAAAUCCACAACAUACCGCAGAAGAUCCUGAGAAUCUCAGUAAGAAGAAAAAUACCAUACAUCAAAAGACUAUUUAAGACCUUACAUAAAUAACAACAACCUGAAGAAGGACUUCCCGAAACGAGGCAGUGUACCCGGGAUUACUUGUUGUUGCAUAGUUUUGUUCUACAUACACACAACAGCUGUGGACUGUUUUCCGUUGAGUUUGAUGUAUGCUUUACUUUAUAUGUUACUCAAUAAGGUUGUAUAAUUGUAUAUAUACCAUAAUUGUGGACUGUUUUCAGUUGGAGGUUUAUGUGUGUUUUACUUUAUAUGUUUCACAAUAAGUUAGUACCCGGUUGGGACUGUAAAGAAAAUACUCUAUAUACUAGCAUACCACAAUACACACGCAAAAACCUACACGAGAGUAUAUACAUUUAAGUUGUUGUUUUUCUAAUAUAUAUAUAUAUAUAUAUAUACCAUUCUUAUAGCAUUUUAUAUAGAUAUCUGUGCCCUAUCGACCCAUGAAAUCAUGCCUAACACAUCUGGACUUCAGGGUCUUAUCUCGAAUUCUGUGGGAAUAUCUAGUUUGCCUGCUCUUCACGCCCUGCAUUCUCAGGUCUAAUCUACACUCCCUUAAAACCUCCUCAUCUUCCCAAGGCCUUUUCUCAAGGGAACUGGUAUUAUCAUUUUCCCCUGUUGCCUGGGAACGAUCUGAAGACUUCAAAACAUCAGCCUCAUCUGCCUGCAAUUCCCCCCGAACAUUCAGAUACCUCGUUUUUGGAACCUAUCAUCCCCUUCAUCCUCUGAACAUUCAGAAAAAUCCUCUGACGCUUGCCAGGGGGUCAUCCAGUCAAACCCCAUUCUGCCCGGGAGAAGGACUGAUUUUCCACCUUCAUUGGCUUUUACUGUUAGAAUUCUUCCUUGUAUUGAGGUCUUUUCCUAACAUUUGACUCCAUGACUCUAUUGUGUCCUUGUCUCCAGAGCAGCAGAAAAUAGCUUGACCCUUCCUCGAUAUGGCAUCCUUUCUGCUAUUUAAACAUGACUCUCAUGUUCCCUUCUCUCUACCUUCUUUUCUCCAGGCUAAACACAUUUAGCUGCUUAAGCCACUCCACAGAGGCAUUCAUAGAUCUGUUGUCAAAAAAAAUCAACCAACCUUCCUAAAAGAUUAAUUAAAUGCAAGAUUUUCAUGAAAUACUGUAUAUAUUUUGUAUUAAUCCAUACAAGUUCCAUAGUUGCAGAACUCUCGCAAUCCAAUCUUUUGAAAAAGUUCAUUCCCCUGCAGCCGCCCAGAGCUUGAACAUUGCAAGAAUCCAUCAUUCCUUUACCUGGCCCAAAGCCACAAAUGGGGCGGGGGUUCGGGGGGUGGGAUGUGCCUAAAUGACGGUUUGGUCUCAAAUCCCUUCACAAAGGAGUUUCAUCUAAAGCCUCAGAACCAUGUACCCCGGUUUUCCCUUCAGAUUUUAUUUAUGAGUUAUGGUGUACAGAUGAUUGAUGUAUGCUUUACAUUAAAAGAAACUAGGAUGUGCUGAAAUGGAUAUGUGCAGAUACGGCCCAGCGUACCUCGAGAAAUCUUAAAAUACAAUAGUACGUAUGUGCUCAUGGAACUCUUUCAACAUCCUGCUGUGAGGUGAGCUCGCUCAGGCAGACAAAGCAAGCAGGAAAGACCUCAUCCAGAUACACAAGGGUGGAUUAAUCUCAUGAGGGGAUCCAGGUGGAGGCAAAUGCCAGACACAACCAACACCUUGAUGAAAUCUGUAUAAAUCUCUAUGCCUUCCAUUGAAAGGUGUAUGUUUGCACAACCUCUUCAUUGUCUCAAUGGCUCAACCCCUUAUGUAAACUGGACCUCACCUAUAAUCCCAUCUCGGACUGUUUGCAUAUUGCCUCAAACCAUUUAGCCAGCCCAGCCUGAGCAGACUCUCUGAACAGCUCCAGCUUCAAAUGGAUAAAUGACAGCACUUGGUUUUUCCCACCUCAAGGGAGAUUCCAUCCGUAUCUGACAACAGCGGGAUUCCCUGCUCAACAGGGACAUGGAUCCUAAUUUGACCACUUUUCAGCUAAUCAGGGGAGGGUUUUGAAUGGUUGCCAAGGAGAUAAAAUGUCUUUCACUGUACUGCAUUGUUAUGCCCAAUUCCUUUCGAGCGCAGAAUCUGUAUCAGACAUCCUUUCAGACCUGAAAGCUAAUAAACCUCAGUUUGUUGCCUUCAAA
Anolis carolinensis (green anole) is the source of this 3808-nucleotide long non-coding RNA. RefSeq lists it as uncharacterized. The record is from RefSeq and is a predicted model, not a curated record. The transcript has 2 exons. Lineage: Eukaryota; Metazoa; Chordata; Lepidosauria; Squamata; Anolidae.